UGGGACUCCUGAGCUAGAUAGCCUGACUUAGUUCCUGGGCUGAUGAGAGAAGAGGGGAGAGCUGCUGGGAAGAAAAGCAAAUAGCCCACCCUGUGUUUGUUGUAAAUGGUGUGUCACAUAAACAAACCACACCAUAUCACCCCUCCCCAUCCUCCUACCCCAUGCCAUAUCUCCUUGUACCAUCAAUCCGAGUAUAAAUAAACUCCACCUCUUACAAUCUACUCCCUGGAUGUCAGCCUCUCUUUCUGACCGAGGAUAACUAUUGUAGCACAACCCAACAUUAAACUGACGUGCACCAUUCUGUACAGUGAGGUUGCAAAAUGCAUACAAAUCUCCAACACUCUGCUGACUCAGUAACUGCAGAGAUCCAAACCUCCUCUGGCAUCAACAUCAGCACAAAAACUGUGUGCCUGGAGCUUCGUGGCUCAUGGGUUCCCAUGGCUGACCAGUUCCAGGCCUCCAUUAUCUCCUUCCUGCAAAUCUUCUGAUGUUCUGGGUUGCAGGCCAGACAGUAGAGGAUGAAAGACAGGCCACUGGCUGUGGUGUCAUGGCCCUCAAACAUGAAGGUGUCCACUUCUGCCCGCAUAUCUUC
Molecule: long non-coding RNA, 592 nt
Organism: Oreochromis aureus
Lineage: Eukaryota; Metazoa; Chordata; Actinopteri; Cichliformes; Cichlidae
Exons: 3
Source: RefSeq, a predicted model, not a curated record